UCUCUUUCUAAGUCCAUUCUCAGCUCAAACUGACAACAUGCUCGUGACUCUCUCUGUUCUCAUCACUGCUCUAACAUGUGUGAGUGGUGUGACGGUGCUGACACAGAAACCUCCUGUUGUAUCAGUGAGGAAAGGAGAGACAGCCACCAUGGACUGUGACCUGGGGACUGUUACUGACAGUGCUGCUCGGUGGUAUAAACAGAUUCCAGGAGGAGUUCCUCAGUUUAUGCUGAGGUUUUAUCAUAGCUCAAGUUCUCCAACCUAUGGCUCUGGGUUCUCUGCUCCAAAAUUCACAUCCACUCAUCAGUCAACAUCAGAUUAUCGUUUGAUCAUCAACAAUGUGGAGGAGGGAGACUCUGCAGUCUAUUACUGUCAGACAUGGGAUGACUCUGCCAAGAAGUGGGUUUCAGGUGUGAGUGGUGUGACGGUGCUGACACAGAAACCUCCUGUUUUAUCGGUGAGCAAAGGAGACACAGCCACCGGGGACUGUUACUAA
Non-coding RNA from Oreochromis aureus, 496 nucleotides. Lineage: Eukaryota; Metazoa; Chordata; Actinopteri; Cichliformes; Cichlidae. The record is from the annotation of a RefSeq genome assembly.